RNAcentral lists this ribosomal RNA (468 nucleotides) under uncultured bacterium. RNAcentral describes it as "bacterial SSU rRNA". It matches the Rfam family "Bacterial small subunit ribosomal RNA", at positions 28 to 507 of the family's 1533-position model. The record is from RNAcentral.
GAUGAACGCUGGCGGCGUGCUUAACACAUGCAAGUCGAACGAAGAUGCCGGAGUGCUUGCACUUUGGCAGACUGAGUGGCGGACGGUGAGUAACGCGUGGGUAACCUGCCUUAUACAGGGGGAUAACAGUUGGAAACGACUGCUAAUACCGCAUAAGCGCACGGUAUCGCAUGAUACAGUGUGAAAAACUCCGGUGGUACAGGAUGGACCCGCGUCUGAUUAGCUGGUUGGUGAGGUAACGGCCCACCAAGGCAACGAUCAGUAGCCGGCCUGAGAGGGUGAACGGCCACAUUGGGACUGAGACACGGCCCAAACUCCUACGGGAGGCAGCAGUGGGGAAUAUUGCACAAUGGGGGAAACCCUGAUGCAGCGACGCCGCGUGAGUGAAGAAGUAUUUCGGUAUGUAAAGCUCUAUCAGCAGGGAAGAAAAUGACGGUACCUGACUAAGAAGCCCCGGCUAACUACGUG